This 127-nucleotide small RNA is filed under the name Marmota monax (woodchuck). The record is from RNAcentral. Lineage: Eukaryota; Metazoa; Chordata; Mammalia; Rodentia; Sciuridae.
GCUGGGCAUGGUGGCACACACCUGUAAUCCCAGCGGCUCAGGGGGCUGAGGCAGGAGGAUCAUGAGUUCAGAGUCAGCCUCAGCAACUUAGUGAGGUUCUAAGUAACUGAGUGAGACCCUGACUCUA